GGAGGGGGUGCCUCCCAGUCUGCCCCAGAUCACGUUUGCCACCGGCAGCCAACCAGUCAGGCCCAAGUCGGCGGGCAACAAGCGAUUGGGGACGAGAGAGCUCGGCUCCCCAGUUCCCCUGUCCAGGUCCCCCCCCACCGGGCCCGAGGCGGUAUAUCCUGCUCUCCCCGGUCACCUCCCACUCGUGGAAGCGGAGCUGCGGCCUCGCUGUAACGCAGAAACGAAAUGUAGCCAGCCGGGUGUCGCGGCUGGACGCUCGCCUUGGCUGGGGGUGUGGGGGGGCACGCGGGGGGCCGAGGAGGACUGCCAAGGAAGAGGAGUGAUGAGAAGAGGGGGAACCCUGCACCCCCCGAGACCACGGGCCCCUGCUGCCACUCACCAGGCGCCCCCCUUCCUCCCAAGCGAGGGGCAGGUGUUCCAUACAGAUUCUCGUGACUUUAAGGACCAGGCAAUUGGGGAGACACAAAGUCUUCCCAGGAAGGGAGGAAAUCUCUGGAAGAGAGGGGAAAGACAGCAGACACUGCCCUGGGACCACCAGAGCCUGAGGUGCUGUGGGAAGCCGAAGGCACCGAGCAGGAGGAGCAGGAAGGAGCCCCAGCCCCAGGUGGAGGCUGUGUUCUGAAAGAUCUGAACUUGGUCUACUUUUUACGAGAGAGGGGCUGCCUCCGGAGGCACUGCAGCCUUGGGCUGGGUCCUUCUCUGGAUGCCCCCUUCCCUGAGGAGCUUGCCUCUGAGAACCAAAGAAGAUAAGAAGUCAGACAGACUUCCCCCAGGCAAGAGGCCUGGUGGCUGGAGGCAGGCAUCUGCACCCCUAGUGGUGGGCUGCUGAGCCUGGUGAGGAGUUUCUUGCUCCCCUCCAGAACCCGGCUCCAGUGCUUCAUGGGGCUGCCUGUUGGUGGAUCAGUUUUUGCAGUGCCUGGUAGCAGCAGAGAGCCGUGGGAAGAGGACCCGCGGCACCUAAGCCUGGGUUCCCCCCAAGACUAAGAUCUUUCCUGAGUUAGGGAGAGAAAAGCAGAAAAAAAAAAAGAAAGUUCCCCGC
RNAcentral lists this long non-coding RNA (1039 nucleotides) under Marmota marmota marmota (Alpine marmot). Its description in RNAcentral is "lncRNA (ENSMMMG00000003969.1)". Lineage: Eukaryota; Metazoa; Chordata; Mammalia; Rodentia; Sciuridae. The record is from RNAcentral.